Molecule: long non-coding RNA, 504 nt
Filed under: Pan troglodytes (chimpanzee)
Lineage: Eukaryota; Metazoa; Chordata; Mammalia; Primates; Hominidae
Description: lincRNA
Source: RNAcentral
UAAGAAUUCAAUAGUGUGAACUUUACAUAGUUAUAUGGGAAUUUUGCAAUGUCAGUUUUAAAAUUUGAACUGGAUAAUUUUUCUCCUGAAGGCUUCAGACAUGAGCAUGCUUCCAACUCAUGUUUUGCUUUACCCUGUUUGACUGAACUCUCUGGUGAUUCUAGUCAACUGGAACUUCAGCACUCCAGUUCUGUCCCGACUGAUGACCCUUCUUGCUGUGUCCUCACAUGAUGGAAGAAGUGAGAAGUCUUUCUUGAAUCUCAUCUAUAAAAGCAAUUAGUCUAUUCGUGAGGUCUCUGCCCCCAUGACCUAAUCACAUGCCAAAGCCCCCACCUCCAGACACUAUCACCUCAGAGGUUAGGAUUUCAAUAUAAGAAUUGGGGGUAGGCCGGGCACUGUGGCUCACACCUGUAAUCCCAGCACUUUGGGAGGCCUAGGCGGGAGGAUCACGAAGUCAGGAGAUCGAGACCAUCCUGGCUAACACUGUGACACCCCGUCUGUACU